Molecule: signal recognition particle RNA, 97 nt
Filed under: Aeromonadales bacterium
Lineage: Bacteria; Pseudomonadati; Pseudomonadota; Gammaproteobacteria; Aeromonadales
Description: signal recognition particle sRNA small type
Rfam family: Bacterial small signal recognition particle RNA
About the family: The signal recognition particle (SRP) is a universally conserved ribonucleoprotein involved in the co-translational targeting of proteins to membranes.
Source: RNAcentral
UGUCAGCCCUCGCGUACUUGAUGAGGGUUUAAUAGGUCAGGUCCGGAAGGAAGCAGCCAGGGUCUUUAUUCAAGGUACCGCGGUCAGGUUGAUGCUC